Molecule: transfer RNA, 72 nt
Filed under: Actinomadura livida
Lineage: Bacteria; Bacillati; Actinomycetota; Actinomycetes; Streptosporangiales; Thermomonosporaceae
Also listed under: 1 other name
Description: tRNA-Gly
Rfam family: tRNA
About the family: Transfer RNA (tRNA) molecules are approximately 80 nucleotides in length. Their secondary structure includes four short double-helical elements and three loops (D, anti-codon, and T loops).
Source: RNAcentral
GUCGCACAAGCCGAAAUGGUGAGGCACCUGGCUUCCACUCAGGAGUAUCGAGUUCGAUUCUCGAGUGCGGCU